Molecule: microRNA precursor, 81 nt
Filed under: Cebus imitator (Panamanian white-faced capuchin)
Lineage: Eukaryota; Metazoa; Chordata; Mammalia; Primates; Cebidae
Description: miRNA (ENSCCAG00000011899.1)
Source: RNAcentral
UAUUAGGUUGGUGCAAAAGUAAUUGCAGUUUUUUCCAUUUAAGUAAUGGUAAGAACCACAAUUACUUUUGCACCAACCUAA